This is a non-coding RNA of Procambarus clarkii (red swamp crayfish), 1496 nucleotides long. NCBI's taxonomy places the organism in Eukaryota, Metazoa, Arthropoda, Malacostraca, Decapoda, Cambaridae. The record is from RefSeq and is a predicted model, not a curated record.
AGAAAGUUAACCACUGAAAACUUCUUCACUUCAAAAAGUGCAGAUACAACAGAGCCGAAUCUCAAAGGGAGACAAGACCGUGUUCGCCAGGAGUUUAACAAGGCAUCCAUGUCAUACAGUCCAUCCAUGGCAUAAUUGUCAACACCUGCCAAGUGAGCCUUAUUGAGCUCAUUGAGCAUUUCAGCAGUAAGAGGAACAUCAUGCCGCUUCUUAACACGAGCCCGAUUCACAAGCUGUAAAAAGACAGUCGUUGAGCAUCUCUUCGGUCAGUGGAACGUUGUUCGGCUUGAUAACGUUGCAACACGUGCGGUUCACAUACUGGCGAAGAACAUGCAAGAGAUAGUGACCAAGACAGUUUGAAUUAGGUGGUGGUAGUGGUGUAUAAAUGUUUACAACACUGGUAAAGGACAUCAAAGCCAGGUGGAAAAAUGGAAGUUCUGAGUAAUCUUGAAAGUUAUAAGUAUAAAUAAGAAAAAUAAUAAAAUUAUAUAUUCCAUGCAAAGAAAUAAGUUAUGUGCAAGAGCAAGAAUUAUAUAUUGAAGUAAAAAAGACCUGGCAUGCAUGACUAAGAAGGAUAUCAACUAGGGUUACAUUCAUUAUCUAAAAUUAAAAUUACCACAGAAUGCCUAAAAUACAUACUGCUAAGAGAAUCAGUACGGUACUCUGGCUGUCACAUACAAAGAUGAUGCCUCCACUUCCUUUUAGUAUGUGCAAGCUGACCGAGACUGUGUGAAGAAGUAUAUACUCACCACAGUUAUUCCAAAUAUAAGGAUGAAGAGAAGAGAGGCGAGUCCAAUGACAAUAACAGCAAUGAGCCACUGAGGAAUCAGAUAAUCAUCCUGUUCUUCGUGGAGGAUACGUGCUCGUUCAUGCAUAACUGUAAUAACAAAAGUACAUAAUAAUGUAAGGAAAUAAUUAUUUUUAUCAGUGCAAAAUUCAUUUCAAAUGAUACAGUGAAGCAUGUGUGUGGACACACAAUGUAAAAUAAAUAAAGCCACUAAUAUGCAAAAGUGUUUCAUGCUGAGGUCAGCUCAAGUUGACCUCAUUAAAUAUGGGGGUCAACUCAUAUUUAAAUAUGAUGAAAUAUAAAGUGAAGUUGAGUACAGAGGAUAACAUAAUCAGGCUAAUAAAUCAAUCAUUCUGGGAACUAAAAUGAAGCAUUAUUUAAAAGCAAACAAUGCAAUUUGUAUUAACUAUGGUAAAUAAAAUUAAUAAAAGAUAAUUGCUUCUAAACUAACUAUAACUACAGGUUUCUAUAUAAUAAAGAAUUCAGCUUAUGUUUUGAUACAUAAAAAAUAGCAAUACAGUACAGUACUAAAAUAUUAUUGCACCUGAUCUUUUGUUCUGCAUGAAACAUUAAGUACAUUAUAGGCUGAUAAUGUAUAAAUUAUUUAUACAUUUAUAAUGUAUAAAUUAUACAUUAUAAGUAGACACUCUAUUACUCCCUCAUCUAUCCUUAUCUCAACUGUGGUAUUUGUGCUUGGGGUUCUACUACC